Molecule: long non-coding RNA, 1478 nt
Organism: Brassica napus (rape)
Lineage: Eukaryota; Viridiplantae; Streptophyta; Magnoliopsida; Brassicales; Brassicaceae
Exons: 3
Source: RefSeq, a predicted model, not a curated record
UCUAAAUUUUUUUGUAAUUCGAUUUUUAAUGUGUAAAAUUUAAUUAAGAGUCAAAAGUAAUGAUAAAUGAUUUUAUAUCAAGUUAUAAAAUUAGACUUAUGAUAUAAAAUUAUUAUAUAUCCUUUUAAGAAUUUUGAGGUAUUGGAUUAUAGAUAAAGAUUACUUAUAAGUUAAGUUUAGGGUUCAAAGUUUGAAAUAUAAAAUAGUUAUAUUUGAAAUUUUGUAAAAUUUAUUAUUAAUGUUUAAAUUUUUUCCUUAUUACUUGCUGUUUAUCUUUAAUUUAUCACCUAAAAUUAAAAGUUUAGGGUUUAAAGUAUGCUUAGGGUUUCAAUUUUCUACAAAUAGCCACAAAUCAUGUUGUGUCUUCUUAUUUUCCACAAUUGUUAUCGUAGCUAAUAGUAGAUAUACAAAACAAAUUGUGGCUAAUCACGGUUUUUUAAAUUCAAUUAGCUACAAAGUGUAAUUUGUGGCUAUUUAGCCACAAAAAUCUACGUAAUAGCUAUGGAUUUUAGUUUGUUGUUAUUUUGUGGCUAUUCGUAGCUUAAAAUCGUCGGCCACAAUUUUUUUGUAGCUAAUUUGUGGUUAUAUACAGAUUUUCUUGUAGUGGUACUCCUUCAACUUGGCAAUGUCGGAUUUAAAUUAGAAACAUCUCUCAACACUGGUCUAAAGGCAGAAUCGGAUUUGGUUCCAAUAGACAGAUCAGAAUCUGAUGGACUUUAACAUGUAGGUUGAUGAUUUGUUUUCCUCUUCCUUGUAUUGUCUUCUAUGUUCUUCAUGUUUGGUUGUAAUGGUAACUGCUUCUGGAGAAGUUAGUUUUCCAUGGGUUUUUUUCAGAAUCGAUCGACGUUCUCUGUUGAGUGUUAGGAUUACGUUUUUGAGCACGUGGGUUAGCUAAUUAACUUCUUUAUUAUUGGAUAAUUUAAUUAGUUUAAUAGUAUUGAUUUUCCUUUUUGAAACGAGAUAUCAAUAAAUAACAUGAAACCAGUAAAAUAAGUUAUUUGUCAUGAACUAUUAUUUUGUGCUGAUUUUCUCACACAAUUUUCAAACAUUUCUACUAAUAUAGAAGUUGCUCCAACCCGGCCACUCCCCUGUACCUGGAGGAAGAUAAACCAGAUGUAGCGGAGGAUGUUGAUCGGACCCAAAGAUAGAGUCCGACUCACAACAAAAUUCCAGGUUAUUACCUCAUCAAAUGAACUGUUGAGCAAGGCAGCUGCAUUUUCAGGGAUCACUCCGACUGCAAUCCAGUCAAGCAGCAUGAGGGUUGAUGGAGUGACAUCAGUGCCAUAGAUGAAAUUAAGCUUGUAUUGAUGAUUGGUGGGCCUGUAGGUAGCACCGGGGUUAGUAACGGAGAAAUUCUCAAUGUUUCUCCACAUUCCAACAUGUACUUUCUUUGCAAUCUUAUCCCAGUAUGUCUUCUUACGGGAUGCAUGAAUUUUUGUUCCCUUCACAAUAUAAAAGUCCAGCGAUUAGAUAGUAGA